This 259-nucleotide ribosomal RNA is filed under the name uncultured Phascolarctobacterium sp. RNAcentral's name for it is "partial 16S ribosomal RNA". It matches the Rfam family "Bacterial small subunit ribosomal RNA", at positions 96 to 339 of the family's 1533-position model. The record is from RNAcentral. Lineage: Bacteria; Bacillati; Bacillota; Negativicutes; Acidaminococcales; Acidaminococcaceae.
UGGCGAACGGGUGAGUAAUGCGUGACCGACCUGCCCUUUAGACGGGGACAACAUUCCGAAAGGAGUGCUAAUACCGGAUGUGAUCAUCGUGCCGCAUGGCAGGAUGAAGAAAGAUGGCCUCUCGAAGCAAGCUAUCGCUAAAGGAUGGGCCUGCGUCUGAUUAGCUAGUUGGUAGUGUAACGGACUACCAAGGCGAUGAUCAGUAGCCGGUCUGAGAGGAUGGACGGCCACAUUGGGACUGAGACACGGCCCAAACUCC